This 253-nucleotide ribosomal RNA is filed under the name uncultured bacterium. RNAcentral's name for it is "partial 16S ribosomal RNA". It matches the Rfam family "Bacterial small subunit ribosomal RNA", at positions 524 to 776 of the family's 1533-position model. The record is from RNAcentral.
UACGUAGGUGGCAGGCGUUGUCCGGAAUUAUUGGGCGUAAAGCGCGCGCAGGCCGUCCUUUAAGUCUGAUGUGAAAGCCCUCGGCUCAACCGAGGAAGGUCAUUGGAAACUGGAGGACUUGAGUGCAGAAGAGGAAAGUGGAAUUCCAAGUGUAGCGGUGAAAUGCGUAGAGAUUUGGAGGAACACCAGUGGCGAAGGCGACUUUCUGGUCUGUAACUGACGCUGAGGCGCGAAAGCGUGGGGAGCAAACAGG